UACGGAGGAUGCAAGCGUUAUCCGGAUUUAUUGGGUUUAAAGGGUGCGUAGGCGGCCGAGUAAGUCAGCGGAGAAAUUUUGCAGCUUAACUGUAACAGUGCCGUUGAUACUGGGGAGCUAGGAUUUGGUUGCUGUGGGUGGAGUGUGUGGUGUAGCGGUGAAAUGCUUAGAGAUCACACAGAAUAUCGAUUGCGAAGGCAGCUCACAAAGCCAAGAUUGACGCUGAGGCACGAAAGUGUGGGGAUCAAACAGGA
Molecule: ribosomal RNA, 254 nt
Filed under: uncultured prokaryote
Description: partial 16S ribosomal RNA
Rfam family: Bacterial small subunit ribosomal RNA
Source: RNAcentral